Molecule: non-coding RNA, 572 nt
Organism: Odocoileus virginianus texanus
Lineage: Eukaryota; Metazoa; Chordata; Mammalia; Artiodactyla; Cervidae
Source: RefSeq, a predicted model, not a curated record
AACCACUUCCUUAUCUUCUUAAUUCUUUUAUCUUACAAUCUGUUUACAUUUCCUUUUCUAUGUUUACUCCUGUUUCUUGCUUAUUUCUUAUUUUCUUUUAUGGCUCAUUAAAAAUCUGAUCACAAACAGGAAAUACAAGAAAAUGAUGCUCCAUAAUGGAAACUAUAGCCAAAUUAAAUUCUUUGGCAGUGGGAAAAAAUGGUAGAAGGAAUUAUGCAAAGUUGAGAGGACAACUGAAGAAGAAAGCUGAUGUUCUCCAGUGAAGUUGAGGAUUAACUAACUACAAGACUCUGGAUUUGUAACAGGAGGGAAAGCAGCAGGGCACAACUUCUGAGAGGAUGACUUAGCACAAGAAUGCAACAGAAACCGAUUAGAAUCAAAUGGGAUCAAGGUGACAGACAAGACUAGACCUUAAUCCUCAAUCAACAAGUGAAAUGACACGUCCAGAGGUGCCAUGACAGUUCCAUGGAACUGUUAAAAGACCAAGGAGUAGGCGGUGGCCCAAAUCCUGGAAAUCUCCACCCCUUCGAAUAAUCCUCCCACUCAUUAGCAUACGAAAUUACCCAGCCUGU